CCUANGGGCGGCAGCAGUGGGGAAUCUUGGACAAUGGGGGCAACCCUGAUCCAGCCAUGCCGCGUGAGUGAAGAAGGCCUUAGGGUUGUAAAGCUCUUUUACCAGGGACGAUAAUGACUGUACCGUGCGAAUAAGCAUCGGCUAACUCCGUGCCAGCAGCCGCGGUAAUACGGAGGAUGCAAGCGUUAUCCGGAUUCAUUGGGUUUAAAGGGUGCGUAGGCGGAAUAAUAAGUCAGUGGUGAAAGCCUGCGGCUUAACCGUAGAAAUGCCAUUGAUACUGUUAUUCUUGAGUAUAGUUGAGGUGGGCGGAAUGUGUAAUGUAGCGGUGAAAUGCUUAGAUAUUACACAGAACACCAAUUGCGAAGGCAGCUCACUAAGCUGUUACUGACGCUGAGGCACGAAAGCGUGGGGAGCAAACAGGAUUAGAUACCCUANUANUC
Molecule: ribosomal RNA, 440 nt
Filed under: uncultured bacterium
Lineage: Bacteria
Description: bacterial SSU rRNA
Rfam family: Bacterial small subunit ribosomal RNA
Source: RNAcentral